UGGCGGACGACGACCUCGCGAUGGUGGUGGCGAACGACGACCUCGCGAUGGUGGUGGCGAACGACGACCUCGCGAUGGUGGUGGCGGAUGACGACCUCGCAUGGUGGCGGCGCCUGCAAUCCCACAACUUGGCGACAGGACCAUGCCAAUUGUGGUAGAGGAGUACAUCCGCGUUGGGAUUCGCCACUCUGAGCGCAUCAGGUUGAUGAAGGAGAAGAAGGAGGAGUGAAGGUGUUAAGAAGGUGUUCAGCAUGUUAGGUUUAAGCUUGUUAGUGUAAUAUGAACAUGUCAAUGUUAAGUAUGUCAGGUUUAAUUUUGUGCAUGCUCAUGGAUGCUGUAUGACAGUGUCAUCUAAACAAGUCAUGUUUUUAACAAUGAAUAUUCAGUUUGGUAAUUGAUGGGAAUUGAAAUUUUUUAUGCAUGCUCAUGGAUGAAAGAUAAAA
RNAcentral lists this long non-coding RNA (443 nucleotides) under Triticum aestivum (bread wheat). RNAcentral's name for it is "long non-coding RNA (TAES_LNC006874)". The record is from RNAcentral. Lineage: Eukaryota; Viridiplantae; Streptophyta; Magnoliopsida; Poales; Poaceae.